Molecule: ribosomal RNA, 426 nt
Filed under: uncultured bacterium
Lineage: Bacteria
Description: partial 16S ribosomal RNA
Rfam family: Bacterial small subunit ribosomal RNA
Source: RNAcentral
GUUAGGAAUAUUGGACAAUGGGCGCAAGCCUGAUCCAGCCAUGCCGCGUGAGUGAUGAAGGCCUUCGGGUUGUAAAGCUCUUUAGUCCACGAAUAUAAUGACUGUAGUGGAAGAAUAAGCCCCGGCUAACUUCGUGCCAGCAGCCGCGGUAAUACGAAGGGGGCGAGCGUUAUUCGGAAUCACUGGGCGUAAAGCGUGCGUAGGCUGUUUUGUAAGUCAGAAGUGAAAGCCCAGGGCUUAACCCUGGAAUUGCUUUUGAAACUACAAGACUCGAAUUCGGGAGAGGAUAGCGGAAUUGUCAGUGUAGCAGUGAAAUGCGUAGAUAUUGACAGGAACACCAGUGGCGCAAGCGGCUAUCUGGACCGAUAUUGACGCUGAGGCACGAAAGCGUGGGGAGCAAACAGGAUUAGAUACCCGGUGUAGUCC